Molecule: long non-coding RNA, 378 nt
Filed under: Panax ginseng (ginseng)
Lineage: Eukaryota; Viridiplantae; Streptophyta; Magnoliopsida; Apiales; Araliaceae
Description: long non-coding RNA (PGIN_LNC011304)
Source: RNAcentral
AGCUUUUUGGUGUUGGUGCUUCCAUGGCUGAGUUAUGAUGGUCUAAACUUAUGUUGGGACUAUGGGGUUUAAGCAAGUUCAACUUGAAUCAGAUGAUCAGGAAGUUCUAAAUCUCAUUUUACCCUCUUCAAACAUUUUAUCUCCCAUGUCUAAUUUAAUUCCUGCUUGCAGCGAUUCAGUCAGUACCUCGGGAAGCAAACCAGUCUGCUGAUUGCCUAGCAAAGAACUCCUACCAACAAGACGAGCUGUAUAAAGUCCAUGCUGAUCCCCCUAUUCUUGUUCACUCAUUUUUGGAAAAAGACUAGAGGGAGAGCCACCCCUCGUUGUGUUGCCAUGCUCAGGACAAGGCUCAUGAAUAAUCUCUAGCAUUUAUAGCAG